This 169-nucleotide unclassified non-coding RNA is filed under the name Heuchera parvifolia var. nivalis. RNAcentral's name for it is "partial external transcribed spacer". The record is from RNAcentral. Lineage: Eukaryota; Viridiplantae; Streptophyta; Magnoliopsida; Saxifragales; Saxifragaceae.
GCGACUGUUUUACGUGCGCAUCAUCAAGUUUGCCCCAAUUGCUUAGAGAGCAUCAUUGGGCUUGGUUUGGUUUCUGUGUUGGCUACCUACUUGGAAGAGAGUGUCCCUUAAUAUUUGUCUUUGUAUCGGCUUGCACCCUUUUAGGGGGAAUGCUCGCUGAUCUUARUUA